CAUGCAAGUCGAACGGAAAGGCCUCUUCGGGGGUGCUCGAGUGGCGAACGGGUGAGUAACACGUGGGUGAUCUGCCCUGCACUUUGGGAUAAGCCUGGGAAACUGGGUCUAAUACCGGAUAGGACUACGAAUCGCAUGGUUUGUGGUGGAAAGCUUUUGCGGUGUGGGAUGGGCCCGCGGCCUAUCAGCUUGUUGGUGGGGUGAUGGCCUACCAAGGCGACGACGGGUAGCCGGCCUGAGAGGGUGUCCGGCCACACUGGGACUGAGAUACGGCCCAGACUCCUACGGGAGGCAGCAGUGGGGAAUAUUGCACAAUGGGCGCAAGCCUGAUGCAGCGACGCCGCGUGAGGGAUGACGGCCUUCGGGUUGUAAACCUCUUUCAGCAUCGACGAAGCGGAAGUGACGGUAGAUGCAGAAGAAGCACCGGCCAACUACGUGCCAGCAGCCGCGGUAAUACGUAGGGUGCGAGCGUUGUCCGGAAUUACUGGGCGUAAAGAGCUCGUAGGUGGUUUGUCGCGUUGUUCGUGAAAACUCACA
This 537-nucleotide ribosomal RNA is filed under the name uncultured Mycobacterium sp. RNAcentral's name for it is "bacterial SSU rRNA". It matches the Rfam family "Bacterial small subunit ribosomal RNA", at positions 54 to 606 of the family's 1533-position model. The record is from RNAcentral. Lineage: Bacteria; Bacillati; Actinomycetota; Actinomycetes; Mycobacteriales; Mycobacteriaceae.